AUGCAACUUUCACCGACACCGGUUCCAGCACACAGGGGGCACCCAAGUCGCGUCACCGACUGCCUCCCGGCAGAUUGCACCUCACCGCCCCCAAGGAAUUCGCCUUGGAGAUGGGUGGAAAGGGCUUUGAGUAGGUCUGCUCGUUGGGCGGAGGCUGCCAACGGGCAGUGGUCAGGCCGGGAUUGGAACAGAAUUUCAGAGAACGGCGGAGGCGCGGAUGCGAGGAGCGGAGCAACGAGUGUUGAGACAGAGCACUGCUACAUAGACGACACCUUGGCAACCGAUCUUCGUUCAGAGAUCGGCCGCCCAUAUCACCUCACGAACGGCUCCAGCAAAGCCACCAUCGCUGGGAUGCAACUUUCACCGACGCCGGUUCCAGCACACAGGGGGCACGCAAGUCGCGUCACCGACUGCCUCCCGGCAGAUUGCACCUCACCGCCCCCAAGGAAUUCGCCUUGGAGAUGGGUGGAAAGGGCUUUGAGUAGGUCUGCUCGUUGGGCGGAGGCUGCCAACGGGCAGUGGUCGGGCCGGGAUUGGAACAGACUUUCAGAGAACGGCGGAGGCGCGGAUGCGAGGAGCGGACCAACGAGUGUUGAGACAGAGCACUGCUACAUAGACGACACCUUGGCAACCGAUGUAUGCACGACACAUGUUGACAGCCGUCCAUCACUUUGGUUGCAUGGGUUGGUACCAUCGAUCGCAGCUUCGUUCAGAGAUCGGCCGCCCAUUGUGCAGCCAAUGCAGCAUCCGGGGCCAAGUGGAGAAGAGAUAACGGCUGCCGCUCUUGGACUCAUCCGAGGCCAGUGCAAGACAAAGGCUGCUGACGUCUGGACACUCCAGUACAACACUUCUCACGCACGCACGCACGCGGUGGCGCUCCUCACCCAACACGCGCCGCCCGGCCGCAGAGAAGAAGAAAGUACCAGUUCACUCAUUGUCAAGCCAAGCCUCGAUCCCCAGUUCCCCAGCCAACACUCGCCGCCCGGCUGCGCGAUGGGAGAUCCAGACGAACACGAACGUCAAGCCGUAGCCGCCGGGGAGCUUAUCUCUGCCUGCAACCCUCCUCCCACCGAGGGUAACGCCGUCGUCGGCGUGGCAAACCUGCCGCCUCCUGGAUUCCUCGCGGCCCUCCCACACGCCGGCCUGAACACCAGGGCCGUCGGCCUGGUCGAUCCCGCCAGGCAGGAGCCCAGGGGCCGCGCGCUCGGCCGGGGAGACAAGCGCCGCUCCGUCCAGGGUCUCGUCAACGAGAUCGACCACAAUUUGCCGGCCGGAGAAGCCCCGGAGGAGGGCGAGGGCAGCGCGGUGGAAGCCCCGCAGGAGACGCCCACGCAGAGGAAGCGCACGCAUCGAUCUGCCAUCAGGAGGAGGAAGCACAGUGGGUCCUCGACCAUGGCCAACCUGUACGACGAUGGCCAGAACAAGGAUGAAAGCACCGGGUUGGGGCUCUCCGCGAAGCGGAAGAGGAAGAGGAGCAAGUACCUCUUGCUGCCAUACACCAA
This 1502-nucleotide ribosomal RNA is filed under the name Triticum aestivum (bread wheat). Its description in RNAcentral is "partial small subunit ribosomal RNA". The record is from RNAcentral. Lineage: Eukaryota; Viridiplantae; Streptophyta; Magnoliopsida; Poales; Poaceae.